This 525-nucleotide ribosomal RNA is filed under the name uncultured bacterium. RNAcentral describes it as "bacterial SSU rRNA". It matches the Rfam family "Bacterial small subunit ribosomal RNA", at positions 137 to 696 of the family's 1533-position model. The record is from RNAcentral.
UUCGGGACAACUCUGGGAAACUGGAGCUAAUACCGGAUACGCCCUUUUGGGGAAAGGUUUACUGCCGAAGGAUCGGCCCGCGUCUGAUUAGCUAGUUGGUGGGGUAACGGCCUACCAAGGCGACGAUCAGUAGCUGGUCUGAGAGGAUGAUCAGCCACACUGGGACUGAGACACGGCCCAGACUCCUACGGGAGGCAGCAGUGGGGAAUAUUGGACAAUGGGCGCAAGCCUGAUCCAGCCAUGCCGCGUGAGUGAUGAAGGCCUUAGGGUUGUAAAGCUCUUUUAUCCGGGACGAUAAUGACGGUACCGGAGGAAUAAGCCCCGGCUAACUUCGUGCCAGCAGCCGCGGUAAUACGAAGGGGGCUAGCGUUGCUCGGAAUCACUGGGCGUAAAGGGCGCGUAGGCGGCGUUUUAAGUCGGGGGUGAAAGCCUGUGGCUCAACCACAGAAUGGCCUUCGAUACUGGGACGCUUGAGUCUGGUAGAGGUUGGUGGAACUGCGAGUGUAGAGGUGAAAUUCGUAGAUA